This 376-nucleotide ribosomal RNA is filed under the name uncultured bacterium. RNAcentral's name for it is "bacterial SSU rRNA". It matches the Rfam family "Bacterial small subunit ribosomal RNA", at positions 521 to 896 of the family's 1533-position model. The record is from RNAcentral.
UAAGACGAACCGUGCAAACGUUGUUCGGAUUCACUGGGCUUAAAGGGCGCGUAGGCGGCUUGCCAAGUCCGGGGUGAAAGCUUUCGGCUUAACCGGAAAAGUGCCUUGGAUACUGGCAGGCUUGAGGGAGGUAGGGGCAUGCGGAACUUCCGGUGGAGCGGUGAAAUGCGUUGAUAUCGGAAGGAACGCCGGCGGCGAAAGCGGCGUGCUGGACCUCUUCUGACGCUGAGGCGCGAAAGCUAGGGGAGCGAACGGGAUUAGAUACCCCGGUAGUCCUAGCCCUAAACGAUGGGUACUAGGUAGUGGGCUUGACAUGGGCUCACUGCCGAAGCAAAAGUGUUAAGUACCCCGCCUGGGGAGUAUGGUCGCAAGGCUG